CACCUACUCCCUCCGUCCGAAAAUAUUUGUCCUAAAAUGGUUGUAUCUAGACUUAUUUUAGUUAUAGAUACAUCCAUUUUCAACUAUUUUUAGGACAAGUACUUCCGAACAAAGGGAGUACUUA
This is a non-coding RNA of Triticum aestivum (bread wheat), 124 nucleotides long. The record is from Rfam. Lineage: Eukaryota; Viridiplantae; Streptophyta; Magnoliopsida; Poales; Poaceae.